RNAcentral lists this transfer-messenger RNA (353 nucleotides) under Christensenellaceae. RNAcentral describes it as "UBA1259 sp017621955 Standard tmRNA". It matches the Rfam family "transfer-messenger RNA". From Rfam's summary of the family: Bacterial tmRNA, also known as 10Sa RNA or SsrA, is named for its dual tRNA and mRNA-like properties. Its role is to liberate the mRNA from a stalled ribosome. RNAcentral also lists the same sequence under 1 other name. The record is from RNAcentral. Lineage: Bacteria; Bacillati; Bacillota; Clostridia; Christensenellales.
GGGGGUGUUUUAGAUUCGAUUGGGCGAUGGAUUAAAGACGCAAGCAUACCGAAGUUCCGUCUUCGUAAAAACGGAAUUUAAAUUUAAAUGCUAACAAUAACGAAUUAGCAUACGCUGCUUAAUUUAAGCGUACGUCCUGCACUUUCUCACCCGAUGGAAAGUGUAAGGGCGUCAAUUAGUCGGGGAACUGCAAGAUAAGUUUGAUUUCGCUUGUUUUGUGGAUUUAAGAAAUCAAAGGGCAAACAAUGGUCGCCGAUGACCAAGUUUGCCACUAAAACUAACCGUCGGAUAAGUAUGUAGAAGGUUUUUUUGAAGCGUUCAAGACUGGGGUGCAAGUCCCCACAUCUCCACCA